Non-coding RNA from Cricetulus griseus (Chinese hamster), 2088 nucleotides. NCBI's taxonomy places the organism in Eukaryota, Metazoa, Chordata, Mammalia, Rodentia, Cricetidae. The record is from RefSeq and is a predicted model, not a curated record.
CAAGCCACAGCAUUCUUGGCCACGCUUCGGAAACCUGACUCGCUUCAUACCUAACGGGACAGUGUACUUGGAGUGCUUAUUUCCUAUGAGUCAGUUUCCAUCCUCUGUCAAAAAAUGCAACUUGUUUAUUCCCGAGAUCCUCUCAGUGGUUUUGCUGAUGGUAACUGAACACAGAGUGAGUGCCUCCUCAUCCCAAGCCUGUCCCGGACAGUGAGAACAUCUCUCUACUGGAGGAUAAUGGAGGUCCAGAGACCCAUGCAUGGGGCCAGGUUACUUUUGCAGGUAUGACCUGAGUAUUUUUAAGCCCUUUGCAACAUAGAGAAUACUGUUCCUUUUUUUUGUGGACGAGGCCCAUGUGAGUGAGAUGAGUGGAGGCCAUAGUCCAGGCCAACUCAGGCCACCGUCAACACCACUUUUACCUCUGUCACCAUUGUCAUCACCAUCAUCACCAAGGGAACAUGGAGCAGAACCGGGAACAAUUCUCUCUGGGGCAUCUGCAUCUCUGGUUCUCCCUUUGACACAGCUUCUUUAGAUGGGAGCCACCUUCCUGUGCCUCUUGGUCUGGAGCCUGAGCCUGGCAGAAACUCCAGCACCAGUGGGAUGGUGUAGACCCCGAGAAAGGACAGCACUACAGGUUUCUACCUGUCCCGGCCCUGUGGCUUGCCACAGCCUCAGUUUCCCCUCUAGAAAGCCUUGCCUCUGCCUCUGAGGACUGAGGACUGCUGCGAGAGGGAUUCUGCCCUCUUGUGGACUCCAGUUACCUGUGACCUCUGAGGUCAGCUAUUGGCUGACAGAAGGACCACCUUACAAUGGCCUCUGGGUUCUAUUCUAACACCAUGAGACUGGCCUGGGGUACACAGCAAGAAGACACCCCAGACUUCCCACUGGAGCUCGGGACUCAGAGGACAGUGUUUUGCCUGCCUAUACCACAUGUAUGCCUGGUGCCCUUGGAGGUCAGAAGAGGAUAUCCACUCCCCUGGAACUGGAGCUGCAGAUAGUUGUGAGUCACCCUGUAGGUGUUGGGAAUCGAACCGAGGCCCUCUGCAAGAAAAAGUGCUCUUAUCUGCUCAGCCAAUUCUCCAGCCUCCACGGGCCUUGAAGUUUUAUCCUUGGCCUUAUUCCCUGUCUGCUCCAGCUUCCUAACUGCAGAUGUCAUGUGGCCAGCUGUCACACACCCUCCCACCAUGACCUCCUUACCGCUGUCGACUAUGUCCCUCCUUAAACUGGGAGCCAGAUUAACCAUUUCCUUCUGCAAGAGGCUUCUACCAGGCAUUCUGUCACAGCAACCAGAAAAGUAACCAAUACAGAUCUGAAUGGACAUUUUUCCAGAGACGGUGGCUGGUAAGCAUAUGCAAAGUGGAUAUGAGGCAUCAAGAAAUGCAAACUGAAACCACUUCACACCCACAAGGUCAGCCAUCACGAGAUAGACAAUCACAGGGGAUGGUGACCUGGGAAAGCUGCAGACCUUCACGCUGCCAGCAGGAAUGAAAAACUGGGUCACCUGGUCUACCACUCUGGCCACUCCUCAGAAUGUUGAACCUAGAGUUGCCAUGUGACCCAAUGACUGCACCAGUAGAUCUACACCCAAGAAAAAUGAAAACUUCCAUCCACAUAGAAACUCCUACACAAAUGUCCGCUACUCACAAUAGCAGCAGUGGGAACUGUCAGAACUUCCAACAGGGGAAGAGAACAGCCAGCACAGUGUGGUCUCUCACGCAGCGCCAUCAUUCAGCCAUAAGAACAAAUGCAGAGCUGACUCACCCCACAGCACUUUGAAGCUUGCUGAGUGAAAGAAGCCAGGCCCACAAGACCACAUGCCGCAUGGUUCUGUUACAUAAGAUGUCAAAAAAGACAAAUGUAUGGAGACAAGAGAGGAAAUUAGCAGCUGCAGGGUGGGGCGGGACUACGGGUGUGAUGAGAGCUAUGGGGUUUCUUCUCCAGGGUGGAAGGGACACUCUGCAGUGAGAUAGUAGGAUGGCUGUAUAGCUCUGAGAGUAUGUCCACUGAGCCAGAUGCUUCUGGAGGGUGGGUUUUUAUAGUGCAAAAGUAACAGCUAAAUACAGAUGUUCUGAAGAGUUCACUGCCUCA